Non-coding RNA from Leptonychotes weddellii (Weddell seal), 199 nucleotides. The record is from RefSeq and is a predicted model, not a curated record. Lineage: Eukaryota; Metazoa; Chordata; Mammalia; Carnivora; Phocidae.
CUGCGCAGGGCGGCCGGGGGAGUCACACCCCAGGGGUUUCUGUGGUAAAUGAGCUUCUUGGCAUACGAGGAAAUUAAAGAAUGAUGGCGUCAUUCCAGCGCUCCAAUAGUCAUGACAAAGUAAGGAGAAUAGUUGCAGAGGAGGGUCGUACAGCAAGAAACCUGAUAGCUUGGAGUGUUCCUUUAGAAAGCAAAGAUGA